This 303-nucleotide long non-coding RNA is filed under the name Pan troglodytes (chimpanzee). RNAcentral's name for it is "long non-coding RNA NONPTRT010513". The record is from RNAcentral. Lineage: Eukaryota; Metazoa; Chordata; Mammalia; Primates; Hominidae.
CUUUGGUGUUGAAGCCAAGAAAUCAUGGCCAAAUUCAGUGUUGUGAAGUUUUUGCCCCUUUAAUUUCUUUCAGAAAUGUUUUGCAGUUUUGUAGUUUUGUAGUGCAAGUAUUUCACCUUCUGGUGGUUAAGUUAAUUCCUAAUUAAUUUAUUCUUUUUUGUUGUUCAAGUCCUCUAUUUCUUCACUUAUCUUCUGUCUGGUUGUUCUAUUCAUUAUUGGAGUGGAGUAUUGAAGUCUCCAACAUUAUUAUAGAACUGCCUAUUUCUCCCUUCAAUUUUAUCAAUGCUUGCUUUAUAUAUUUUU